This 355-nucleotide long non-coding RNA is filed under the name Carica papaya (papaya). RNAcentral describes it as "long non-coding RNA (CPAP_LNC004979)". Lineage: Eukaryota; Viridiplantae; Streptophyta; Magnoliopsida; Brassicales; Caricaceae. The record is from RNAcentral.
UCCUGCGUUGGUUAGUCGCAGAAAGAUCAGUGCACGAAUCACAAUAGAGAAGAAACACCAUAGCAUGCAAUCAUAAGAUACAAACAGGUUAUGUAACUUUGUGCUUCAGAUUUUUUUGCCCGGUUAAAAGUUGAAAAAGUUGAAUAUGGUCACGUCAGGUUGUUUUUGAGUUGCAUAUUUUCAAGGUUCAUUGCUUAGAUGGUGCUCGGGCAUGCAACUAGUCAGCUAAGAAUUAAAAGGAAGCGAUAUAAACGAGUCGAGAACACCUUAGGCUUGUAAAGGAAGCAGAAUUUUAAUUGCAGAGUUAUGAAACAUGCAAGGGCAUAAUGGAUGGAACAAAAAUAAUAUAUGAACU